RNAcentral lists this ribosomal RNA (498 nucleotides) under uncultured bacterium. RNAcentral describes it as "bacterial SSU rRNA". It matches the Rfam family "Bacterial small subunit ribosomal RNA", at positions 899 to 1397 of the family's 1533-position model. The record is from RNAcentral.
ACUCAAAUGAAUAGACGGGGCCCCGCACAAGCGGCGGAGCAUGCGGAUUAAUUCGAUGCAACGCGAAGAACCUUACCUGGGUUUGACAUAUACCGGAAACGUCUAGAGAUAGGCGCCCCCUUGUGGUCGGUAUACAGGUGGUGCAUGGCUGUCGUCAGCUCGUGUCGUGAGAUGUUGGGUUAAGUCCCGCAACGAGCGCAACCCUCGUCCUAUGUUGCCAGCGGAUUAUGCCGGGGACUUAUAGGAGACUGCCGGGGUCAACUCGGAGGAAGGUGGGGAUGACGUCAAGUCAUCAUGCCCCUUAUGUCCAGGGCUUCACGCAUGCUACAAUGGCCGGUACAGAGGGCUGCAAUCCUGCAAAGGUGAGCGAAUCCCAAAAAGCCGGUCUCAGUUCGGAUUGGGGUCUGCAACUCGACCCCAUGAAGUCGGAGUCGCUAGUAAUCGCAGAUCAGCAACGCUGCGGUGAAUACGUUCCCGGGGCUUGUACACACCGCCCGU